GUGGGGAAUAUUGGACAAUGGGCGAAAGCCUGAUCCAGCCAUGCCGCGUGUGUGAAGAAGGUCUUCGGAUUGUAAAGCACUUUAAGUUGGGAGGAAGGGCAGUAAGUUAAUACCUUGCUGUUUUGAUGUUACCGACAGAAUAAGCACCGGCUAACUUCGUGCCAGCAGCCGCGGUAAUACGAAGGGUGCAAGCGUUAAUCGGAAUUACUGGGCGUAAAGCGCGCGUAGGUGGUUCAGUAAGUUGGAAGUGAAAUCCCCGGGCUCAACCUGGGAACUGCCUCCAAAACUACUGAGCUAGAGUACGGUAGAGGGUAGUGGAAUUUCCUGUGUAGCGGUGAAAUGCGUAGAUAUAGGAAGGAACACCAGUGGCGAAGGCGACUACCUGGACUGAUACUGACACUGAGGUGCGAAAGCGUGGGGAGCAAACAGGAUUAGAAACCCGAGUAGUCC
This 450-nucleotide ribosomal RNA is filed under the name uncultured bacterium. RNAcentral describes it as "partial 16S ribosomal RNA". It matches the Rfam family "Bacterial small subunit ribosomal RNA", at positions 354 to 796 of the family's 1533-position model. The record is from RNAcentral.